UGCGUGUAGAGAGAUUCGAACUCUCACAUUCUAGCGUUUGAAGCUAGCGACUCUGCCAAUUGGCCUAUACACGC
RNAcentral lists this transfer RNA (74 nucleotides) under Vibrio phage 1.081.O._10N.286.52.C2. RNAcentral describes it as "tRNA-Leu". The record is from RNAcentral. Lineage: Duplodnaviria; Heunggongvirae; Uroviricota; Caudoviricetes; Pantevenvirales; Straboviridae.